AGGGGCAGAAGCAGAGGGGCAGGGGGGGGGGCAGAUCUGUCGUCUGAGUUGUCUGGUGAUCCUGUGCUGUUCUCUCUGCAGACAGUCCUGUCUUGUGUAUAUAUAACAGCCAUGUGCCAAAGUGAGGUCAUAUUACAUGUGAGGUCAUAUUACAUGUGUAACAGUGAGGUCAUAUUACAUGUGUAACAGCCUGAGGUCAUAUUACAUGUGUCACAGUCUGAGGUCAUAGGUCAUAUUACAUGUGUCACAGCCUGAGGUCAUAGGUCAUAUUACAUGUGUCACAGUGAGGUCAUAUUACAUGUCCAACAGCCUGAGGUCAUAUUACAUGUGUCACAGUCUGAGGUCAUAUUACAUGUGUGUGUCACAGCCUGAGGGCUUUAUUACUGUAAGCCAACACAGCACAAGGACAAGCAUGUGCACAAUACCAAAGGAACUAUUUUAUAUUCAAUGUUCUGUUCCUAAAUUAUUUGUCAAUUUUGUGUUUUUGUAUGUUUCAAGCGGUUUUUACAUUUUAAUAAAGAUAAAUGU
Molecule: long non-coding RNA, 528 nt
Organism: Clupea harengus (Atlantic herring)
Lineage: Eukaryota; Metazoa; Chordata; Actinopteri; Clupeiformes; Clupeidae
Source: Ensembl